Molecule: ribosomal RNA, 250 nt
Filed under: uncultured bacterium
Lineage: Bacteria
Description: partial 16S ribosomal RNA
Rfam family: Bacterial small subunit ribosomal RNA
Source: RNAcentral
CCGCGGUAAUACGUAGGGUGCGAGCGUUGUCCGGAAUUAUUGGGCGUAAAGAGCUUGUAGGCGGUUUGUCGCGUCUGCAGUGAAAAUCCGAGGCGCAACCUCGGACUUGCUGUGGGUACGGGCAGACUAGAGUAUGGUAGGGGAGACCGGAAUUCCUGGUGUAGCGGUGGAAUGCGCAGAUAUCAGGAGGAACACCGAUGGCGAAGGCAGGUCUCUGGGCCAUAACUGACGCUGAGAAGCGAAAGCAUGG